Long non-coding RNA from Daucus carota subsp. sativus, 1638 nucleotides. RefSeq lists it as uncharacterized. The transcript has 2 exons. The record is from RefSeq and is a predicted model, not a curated record. NCBI's taxonomy places the organism in Eukaryota, Viridiplantae, Streptophyta, Magnoliopsida, Apiales, Apiaceae.
AUAAAUCUAUUUGUCUAGAUAUUAUUGUUGUCUCUAGUUGAAUAUUGAUGUGAUUAUGUGAAUAGUUGUAUGUGAUUAUGCUUAUUUGUGGAUUAAUAUGGAUUAUACUAAUUAUGCGUCCUCCUUUUUUCUCUGAUUCCGAGGACGGAAUCCCUAUAAGGAGGGUAGAUUGUAAUGACCCGGAUUUUUAAAAAUAUUUUUAUUAGUAUUAAAAGUGAUUUUCUUAUAAAGAAGGAAUAAGAUUUAAUAUUUAUUCCAGUUUAAUGAGUUUUCAAAAUUUUAUAUUAAACUCCGGGUUAUUGUGUUACUGAUAAAUGAUUAUAUUUUUAAAACUGAUUUUCAUAUAUUGUUUCGAAAAUUCUAGAUGAUUAUUAUGUGAAUAUAUGUGUGAUGUGAGUAAGUGGUAUUGGUGGAUUUGUUGGUUAAUUAAUUGUGGUUAAUAACGGAUAUUAUAUGAUUAAUACAUGAAUUUUGUGAAUAUUGUACUAUCUGGUUUAUUUAAUUGACCGCUCAUAUGUGCUCGGAUUUGAGAUAUUUCAAUUUCUAUAUAAUCAGGAUAAAAUGUAGUUUAUUUGGAUAUUUUGUAUCGAUUUAUGGAAUGUUAGAUGAUUUUAUAAUCGAUUUACAGAUUUAAUUGCGUAUAUUUGUAUUUAUUUAUUAAUUAUUUGAUCUUUUUGGAAACCGUCCACUCGUGACGGAGCAACGAUUUUAUUCCCGAAAGUUUCGAGAAAACUCACCUUUAGCCUAAUUUGAAUAUUCCGGACAGUUUUCGUGUUUUGACUUUUUCGAUCCGGAGUACGGUUUUACUCGGAGUCGGUCCGGCGGAGUUUUGCGGGUAUCUUAAUUGUUGAUAAUUAUCCAGUUUGUCUCGAUAAGCGUGAAACGAGAUAUUUUGAUUAUUAUAUUCAUCCUUAUCUUGUAAUAAUUGCAAUGGGACCCGCAGACCAAUAAUUGAGUUAAAAAGCCCCGUUUUGAUGAUUAUCUCGAAAACCAGUACCGAUUGGACCCCGCUUUAUUAAUAUAAAGCUAUUAAAUACGUAUUUUCAUGUCAUAUACGAUCCAAAGGGGUACCAAUUAUUGGUAAAUAUAAAUAGACCUUUCUAGAGCUUAUUUUCACCCGUAAAAUCAUUUCACCACUUUCUCUGCACCAAUAUCGAGAGAAACCGAGCGGUGUUCUUCGUGUUCUUCAUAAUCAAACAAGGAUUUGAAGGUGUUAUUGGAAUCCGAUGGAGGCGUAUGAAUAGUCAAAACGAAGCUCUCGACGCGUAGAAUAUAGUAUAAUCAAUCAUAACACUGCAGAUUCAUCAGAAAGGCUUAAAGAUGAGAUGAUUGAUUGAGAUUGUGAGUAAGGCUAAUGCUAGGCGAGGAGACAGAGUUGAGGAUCCAGUGGUCGAGGAGUGUUCAGGAAAGUUGAUGAGGUUGGUGCAAGCUGUAAUAGUUGACAGUGAUUCUUCUUAUCGAAGAUGAUCUGAUUUGGUAAGAGAUGUUGUGUAAUAAUAGUGGUAGAUUCUAAUUUCAAUACUGUAACCUGGAUGCGAUCCUGUUGCUUUUAGGGGGUUUAAAUGUUCUCUUUCGAAUCAGUUAUUAAAGUUUAAAUGUUCUCUUGAAAUUCUCCUAUUAUGGCUUUCAAGUUUGAAA